UUUAUUCACUAGGGGAGCUUUUGCUGAGACGUUUAUUCGGACCCUUUGAACCUGAUUAAGUUAAAACUUGCGGAGGGAAGUGACAUAUUAACUGG
This 95-nucleotide non-coding RNA is filed under the name Weissella koreensis. Its description in RNAcentral is "TPP sequence". It matches the Rfam family "TPP riboswitch aptamer (THI element)". Rfam says of the family: Vitamin B(1) in its active form thiamin pyrophosphate (TPP) is an essential coenzyme that is synthesised by coupling of pyrimidine and thiazole moieties in bacteria. The previously detected thiamin-regulatory element, thi box was extended, resulting in a new, highly conserved RNA secondary structure, the THI element, which is widely distributed in eubacteria and also occurs in some archaea. Lineage: Bacteria; Bacillati; Bacillota; Bacilli; Lactobacillales; Lactobacillaceae. The record is from Rfam by way of RNAcentral.